This 500-nucleotide ribosomal RNA is filed under the name uncultured Glomus. RNAcentral's name for it is "SSU rRNA". It matches the Rfam family "Eukaryotic small subunit ribosomal RNA", at positions 591 to 1092 of the family's 1831-position model. The record is from RNAcentral. RNAcentral also lists the same sequence under 1 other name. Lineage: Eukaryota; Fungi; Glomeromycota; Glomeromycetes; Glomerales; Glomeraceae.
CCAAUAGCGUAUAUUAAAGUUGUUGCAGUUAAAAAGCUCGUAGUUGAAUUUCGGGGUUAGCAGGUCGGUCGUGCCAUCGGUAUGAACUGGUCUCGCUGAUCCCUCCCUCUUGACGAACUGUGAUGCCAUUAAUUUGGUGUCGCAGGGAAUCAGGACUGUUACUUUGAAAAAAUUAGAGUGUUUAAAGCAGGCUCACGCUUGAAUACAUUAGCAUGGAAUAAUGAAAUAGGACGUUUGAUCCUAUUUUGUUGGUUUCUAGGAUUGACGUAAUGAUUAAUAGGGAUAGUUGGGGGCAUUAGUAUUCAAUUGUCAGAGGUGAAAUUCUUGGAUUUAUUGAAGACUAACUACUGCGAAAGCAUUUGCCAAGGAUGUUUUCAUUAAUCAAGAACGAAAGUUAGGGGAUCGAAGACGAUCAGAUACCGUCGUAGUCUUAACCAUAAACUAUGCCGACUAGGGAUCGGAUGAUGUUAAUUUUUUAAUGACUCAUUCGGCGCCUUACG